AGUCAACUGCUCCAGAAAUGAGUUCCAUAUAUAUAACAGAGCCCCCUACUAAAGGAAAGGUACUAUUAAAGACCACACUGGGUGAUAUUGAUAUUGAACUGUGGUCCAAAGAGGCUCCUCUGGCCUGUCGUAACUUCA
RNAcentral lists this long non-coding RNA (138 nucleotides) under Amphimedon queenslandica. Its description in RNAcentral is "uncharacterized LOC109589630". The record is from RNAcentral. Lineage: Eukaryota; Metazoa; Porifera; Demospongiae; Haplosclerida; Niphatidae.